GAGCGGUACAUCAGGGGAGCUUGCUCCCUGGGUGACGAGCGGCGGACGGGUGAGUAAUGUCUGGGAAACUGCCUGAUGGAGGGGGAUAACUACUGGAAACGGUAGCUAAUACCGCAUAACGUCGCAAGACCAAAGAGGGGGACCUUCGGGCCUCUUGCCAUCAGAUGUGCCCAGAUGGGAUUAGCUAGUAGGUGGGGUAAUGGCUCACCUAGGCGACGAUCCCUAGCUGGUCUGAGAGGAUGACCAGCCACACUGGAACUGAGACACGGUCCAGACUNNUACGGGAGGCAGCAGUGGGGAAUAUUGCACAAUGGGCGCAAGCCUGAUGCAGCCAUGCCGCGUGUGUUAAGAAGGCCUUCGGGUUGUAAAGCACUUUCAGCGAGGAGGAAGGUGGUGAGCUUAAUACGCUCAUCAAUUGACGUUACUCGCAGAAGAAGCACCGGCUAACUCCGUGCCAGCAGCCGCGGUAAUACGGAGGGUGCAAGCGUUAAUCGGAAUUACUGGGCGUAAAGCGCACGCAGGCGGUUUGUUAAGUCAGAUGUGAAAUCCCCGGGCUCAACCUGGGAACUGCAUUUGAAACUGGCAAGCUAGAGUCUCGUAGAGGGGGGGUAGAAUUCCAGGUGUAGCGGUGAAAUGCGUAGAGAUCUGGAGGAAUACCGGUGGCGAAGGCGGCCCCCUGGACGAAGACUGACGCUCAGGUGCGAAAGCGUGGGGAGCAAACAGGGUUAGAUACCCUGGUAGUCCACGCUNUAAACGAUGNUGAUUUGGAGGUUGUGCCCUUGAGGGUGGCUUCCGGAGCUAACGCG
RNAcentral lists this ribosomal RNA (806 nucleotides) under uncultured gamma proteobacterium TIHP368-27. RNAcentral's name for it is "bacterial SSU rRNA". It matches the Rfam family "Bacterial small subunit ribosomal RNA", at positions 64 to 859 of the family's 1533-position model. Lineage: Bacteria; Pseudomonadati; Pseudomonadota; Gammaproteobacteria. The record is from RNAcentral.